RNAcentral lists this ribosomal RNA (252 nucleotides) under uncultured bacterium. Its description in RNAcentral is "partial 16S ribosomal RNA". It matches the Rfam family "Bacterial small subunit ribosomal RNA", at positions 524 to 776 of the family's 1533-position model. The record is from RNAcentral.
UACGUAGGGCGCAAGCGUUGUCCGGAAUUAUUGGGCGUAAAGAGCUCGUAGGCGGCUUGUCACGUCGGGUGUGAAAGCCCGGGGCUUAACCCCGGUCUGCAUUCGAUACGGGCUGGCUGGAGUGUGGUAGGGGAGAUCGGAAUUCCUGGUGUAGCGGUGAAAUGCGCAGAUAUCAGGAGGAACACCGGUGGCGAAGGCGGAUCUCUGGGCCAUUACUGACGCUGAGGAGCGAAAGCGUGGGGAGCGAACAGG